GCCUACAGCCAUACCACCCUGAAUGUACCCACUCCUGUUUGCUCUACUAAGUUAAGCAAGGUCAGGUCUGGUUAGUACUUGGAUGGGAGAAAUUAAGGAGGAGGAGACA
Molecule: ribosomal RNA, 109 nt
Filed under: Jaculus jaculus (lesser Egyptian jerboa)
Lineage: Eukaryota; Metazoa; Chordata; Mammalia; Rodentia; Dipodidae
Source: RNAcentral